This 253-nucleotide ribosomal RNA is filed under the name uncultured archaeon. RNAcentral describes it as "partial 16S ribosomal RNA". It matches the Rfam family "Archaeal small subunit ribosomal RNA", at positions 474 to 726 of the family's 1478-position model. The record is from RNAcentral.
CACCAGCUCCACAAGUGGGGAUCAUAUUUAUUUGGCCUAAAGCGUCCGUAGCUGGUUAUAUAAAUCUCUUGUGAAAUUGUUAGGCUCAACCUAACACCGUGCAGGAGAGACUGUAUGACUAGGGACCGGGAAGGGUCAGGGGUAUGCCGUGGGGAGCGGUAAAAUGCUAUAAUCCUCGGUAGACCACCUGUGGCGAAGGCGCCUGACUAGAACGGGUCCGACAGUGAGGGACGAAAGCCAGGGGAGCAAACCG